Coturnix japonica (Japanese quail) is the source of this 4059-nucleotide non-coding RNA. Lineage: Eukaryota; Metazoa; Chordata; Aves; Galliformes; Phasianidae. The record is from RefSeq and is a predicted model, not a curated record.
GGUAGGCAUCCAGGCGGGUCUUGAGUAUCUCCAGAGAAAGAGACUCCACUACCUCCCUGGGCAGCCUGUUCCAGUAUUCCAUCACCCUCACCGUAAAGAAGGUCUUGCGCACAUUUGUGACCUACAAAGAUCACCAAGUCUUGUUGAACUUCAUCAUCACCCAAAAGUUAAAGCAUAUUGAUGAACUUGUUGGCCAAAUGCCUUUUGGGCAUCAGCCGUCUCAGUAGAAAGUCUGUUCCAGUGUUUGCCCACCCUCACAAUAAAGAAAUCUUAAUUUCCUGGAGUCCUGUCUGGCCUACAAUGAGUGAAUAGGCAUGUUGCAAAACCACACGGCAUUAAUCACACUCGUCCCGUUGUUGCAGAAGAGUUUUAAUGUGACUCUGUUGGUCAGUAACUCAACAGUAUCAUCAAGACACUGACAUACAGUGCCAUUGAGGUAGGCUUCACUUCCCAACCAAGAUGAUCGAUAAUGAAACCCAAUCUUUGCUUGGUUGAGCCCUUUCUGAAAAUCACCAACUGAAUGAGUCCACAACCAUUUCUUCCUGUAAGGUCUGGCUAUGCCGGCAGCUCUGUAGGACAGCUCUGUCAGCUGCCACAAACCCCGCUGUCCCCCUAGAUGGUAUUUUCCAGUAACUCAGAGAUUACUAUCACGGGAAGAGUGUCCUGUCAAGUUUCUGGAUUGUUUCAAUUAAACCAGCACUCCUUCCAGUACCCAGAAAAGUGGCAGCAAGGUCAGAGGUGGUUUAACCUCCCCUAAGAACCCUGCAUGGGGUUUAAUUAGACUCCUAAUUACUUUCUCUCAGCAUUGGUACAGGAUGAAGAAAUAACGGUAUUUCUCUUCAUAGACAGUCUGUUCUGUAAUUAAUCUCUCAGUUUAGAAUUGGGAAAUCUUUUAUUCUCAACUCAUCAAGAACCUAAAUUGGAAUGUCCGGGUAGCUACUCAAAUAAGAGGCAGAAAUUAUGUAUAAGAAAUUAUUACUUACUGUCAGUGGAAAUAAGUGAAUUUUUCUUCAUGGUAUAAUUUGGCUUGUGCUCAUGGGAAACUCAAGAAUAUUAAUCCAAAUAGCCAUUUAAAGUAGGUUUUGACAAAACCAUUUUAAAUCUUCAUGGGGACAGUCUCAAGAUUUAGCCAUAUUCCAAAACAUCAUGAUCUAUUUAACAAAAAAAAUACACUUUCCCCAAACAAUAGUUGCUGGUGCUGUUUUUAAUCACAUUUAUUCCACAGCUCAUUUCAGAGCUCAGUCGUGCCAGCAGAUUGCUUUACCUUAGGGAGAUAUGCUACAGUGUGAGGGAUAAGAACCUGUAACUGGAAGCCUUAGGGCCACGCAUCCCUUAUCCAGCUGUGUUGCAGUUCGUCCCACUCCAACACGAGUGCCUGGUCACAGCCAUGGGACAGACAGCCACAACUCAUCACCCUCUGGACUGCAGGAGCUGGCAUUGAGCACGCAUUCCCAGUGGUGGGCACUUCCACGCUGUCAGAUUCAGCUGCUCAGUUGGUCAGUAUGCCCUCAUUAAACGUCAGGAAUCCAGUUGUUUAUUGGCUGUUGGCCAAGGUCAUUGGCCAUGACUUUUUCCUGAAAUUACAUUUCUGGCUUAUGACUCAAAAUCAUUAAUAGACAUGUUCAGCAAGCGGGGAAGGAGUCACUGUGUCUAUGAGUUAAAAGACAGAUGAGUGUGUUUUUGUGUUAAUCAGCAUCUACAAAUUAUUUUUGCUUCUGGUAUGGAUGGCAACACUUUACAGCACAGAACGUCAUCUCAGUUUUACAACUUCACUGUAGAUUUUUGCAGUGUAACAUUCUCCUUUUAAUACCUUACAAAGUCAUCUCAAGAAAAUCCACAGUAAUUGGUUCUUUCAGCAAUUUACAAUAGCUCAGUGCAGUACUAAUGAUGAUAAUAAAAUUAAUAAUCCUUUGGAAGUACAUAGCUCUUCACUUUAAUCAUGCUGCUGCUUAUGUGCAUUAAUUAUCGCUCACAGCACUCCUGAGUUAUGUAAGCAAAUAUUGCCUUUCUUUAACAGAGGAAUAAAAUGAAGAAAUGGAUUAAAAUAGCUUGACUAACGUGCAUGGGCUCAAUGACUUAAUUUUCUGUAGAUCAUCUUAGUUUCUAACAAUCAUUAUUCUAAAAAUACAUUGAAUGUCUACACUGAGACAGAGAAGAAAAAAUCAGUAAUUUUUGUUCUAUUUAUUCACUGGAAUUUCUUUACAGAAUCCUUAAAGUAUAACUUGAUGAAUUAUUGCAUUAAUGUUUUAUUUCAUAAAUAAUUCCUGCCCAGUAUCAAACAGUGCUAACUACUAAAAGGUUAUCUGUACACACGAUCACACCGAGUUUUGAGUCAUGGUGAUUUACACAAAAAUCCUGGAUAUUAAGUCUUAUGCUGCUGGGGAAUUUUCUCUGAUGUACUCAUGCUCUUCUCCCUAGACAGCAAGGACAGUCUUUUACUGUCCAGCGCCCUUAAAAAUUAUCACUCUUUCUUGCUGUCUUUUCCUCUGCAGUUGAGAGGUUGUAUCAUCUAGCGCUCUGCUUCAGUCACUUUGUUUCAUAAAUGUCUUUAGCACACAUUUGGGAGACCUUGUGUGACCAUGCAGGUCCUCAUACGUUUGCGGCUCAACUUUAGGCAUUAUCCAGCAGUCAUCAAGUUCCUUGUUCUGAGCUGGCAAAAGUCCUGAAGGCACUUUCAUUAAAGACAAAAGCAAGGGAUUUAUAAGAAUAGUGUCUCAAUCAGUUAUUAAAAAAAAAAACACAAUUACUUUUAUAUACAUAUAUAUGGAUCAGAACGUGUACUUUUAAAAGACUGCCGAUGCAGUUGCUAUCAAAAAAAGAAAUGAGAUGUUAGGAACUUCACUGGAAGGGAAAGGAAGCAAAACAGAAAACAGCACUGCCGAAUACAAGUCCAUUGUGCCUCCACAGAUCUGUGCUUCUAGUGCUGCCAUCUCUUCAAGGCCAUAGGAAUGAUACAAAGAAGGGCAACUGGGAUGAGCAGAAAUUUGGAACAGCUUCUUUUCAUUAUGAAGAGAGACUAAAUAAGCCGAGACUCUUCGAUCUGAAACACCAGAUGGUUGAGGGGGAAUACGAUAAAGGUUUAUAAAACUGUGAUAGUACAAAGAAAGCAGACUGUAAGUUAUUAUGUCUUAGUUUUCAUAAUCUAAGAGUAAAAGGGAAGCACAUGAAGCUGUAGAGCAAAAAUUUUUUAACUAACCAAAAAGAGGUCCUUUAUUUUCAGAUGACUCAUAUUUACUCUGUGGAGUUCCUUUUCCAGCAAAGUUGUGGGUGCCAACUUGGAAACUUGUACUGCAAUACUGAAUAUAAAGAUGAGCUCACUGGGAAGGGUUUACAAAUGUUAUAGAGCUCGCUAUUCAAAGCAAUGAAUGAGUGGAAGACACGAGGAGAAGGCAAAGAUCCUGUUGUGCAAAAAAACCAAGACUAUCUCCUUGGUCUCGGAAAGCCUGGAAGACAACGGAUGGGCAAGAAGGGAAGACUACAUAAGGGGAGGCACGGACUUUAAAUGACUGGAAGGAUGAUCUGCUCACCCCCACAUUGCUCCUGCUAAGGGACCUCUGCCCCCACCGCAGCACAGCGCGGGGAUGUGCACAGCUGGGAGAGCGACGUGACAGAGCCAGGAAACGGGAUAAAACGCCUGACUGCGGGUCGUGGUGUUUAUCUGAGAUCCUUCCCCGGUGUAAAACCUGCCCGGCGUCUGCUGGUGUGAUCUGCGGAUGUAUCAUAUACUCUGAAUGCAUUUCCUGUAUUUCAUGCCUAUAUUCUAAAUAUAUUCCAUAUAUUUCAUAUAUUUGGUGCAAUUCUAGAUCAAAAACCCCGGGUUGUGUUUGGUAUUUAUUUACAAAAUAUUCUAUUAACUUGAGGUUUAGUAACGGUUGGUAGCAUUCCUUAUAACCAAUUUAAAGUUAUUGUGAACUCACCUCAGCACAAAAUAAAUACCUAAAUUAGAUGAUUGCAACACGUUAAUUAUUUUGACUAAUUUUGAGAAUAUUGUUUAAAGAACAAAUAAAAACAGGAACCUUAAAGAAUACUUUGAAAACGAUGCUUUUAGUCUGUACAUUU